Molecule: non-coding RNA, 513 nt
Organism: Ictidomys tridecemlineatus (thirteen-lined ground squirrel)
Lineage: Eukaryota; Metazoa; Chordata; Mammalia; Rodentia; Sciuridae
Source: RefSeq, a predicted model, not a curated record
AGUUCUGUAAUCUGGAGUUCAAGAUCAAGAUGUUGGAAAGUUAAUACCUGUACAUUUUGUUGCCAGAAUACAUGCUUCCUCCCUCUGUCAAUGGAAAAAACCCAACCUUCAACUGGGAAGCCAAACCACUCACACCUUGGUCCACAGGGUUGAAGGAGGCUGAGCUCAUCUCUACCGGGGCCAGUUUGUAAAAUGGGGAAAAGCAUCUUUCUCAGUCUCUACCUACCCCUCAGUGUUCUGGAUGCUUCUUCAGACCCCUGUAUCUUAACCUCUCUAGUGCUGUCCCUGAACUACAACAUUUACUUUGACUGCUGCCCACCUUCAUCUCCUCUCUUCUUGUAAGUGCCACCUCUCUUGAUUAUCCCUACCAUCUCUAUUCCCCUUCUGGCUUUGGGAUCCCUGGACCACUCUACACUGCUCCUGUUAAGGCUCCACCAUUACUCUACCUCUAGCAGAACUCCAGCAAUUGCUCCACGUCAGCCAAGUACCCCAACAUUCCUUAGACUACUGACA